This is a long non-coding RNA of Scylla paramamosain (green mud crab), 1259 nucleotides long. RefSeq lists it as uncharacterized. Lineage: Eukaryota; Metazoa; Arthropoda; Malacostraca; Decapoda; Portunidae. The record is from RefSeq and is a predicted model, not a curated record. The transcript has 3 exons.
AAAAACAAAUAUCCGAUCACACCUUAGGACAUUCAAACUCAAUGGAAUGAUCAUCUACAUGGGAGAAGUACCGUUGAAAAGACCGUCAAAACAUGGCAAUUGUCCUACUGGUGCCCAGCAGUACGUAUUACCAUAAAUGAACGGAGAGCAGCCGCCGUUGAAAGGCAUACAGGGAGAAGAGGAUUCAUAACUUUAUUCUAAAGACAAAAACCUGAUACCCAUAGAGUAGGAGUUAGUGUAUACGUAAUUUUCGCAUUUUGGUGCCUUUUUUACUGCAUGAAAUCUCGUACAGUCAGCAAAAUACAUCUGGCAACUUCAGACAAGCAGUGACGUAAGUGACUCCACGUGCGUAGUAAACAGUUGAUCUCGUGUCGAUCUUAUUACACCAAGUUUUCCAUCUUACAGUUCUACUUAUCACUCCCCCUGACUUCACGGAACUAAGCUUGAGUUUUCUUAUGUGCCAUGUAGGAGAGGAGUUUAAGGUGCAAUGCUAACUGGACGUGGAAUGACGCCGUUUGGUUCAGCAGUAGAAGUUACAAGUGAUGGAAGCAGAGCUCAUGGCGUCUUAUUUGUUUUGCGUCUGUUUCUGCGGCGACUUCGAUUGUAGGUCAGCUGAGUGCAAGGGCUGAGUGUGUGGGAUUUCCUGUUCCAGUUGUGCAGGGUCAGCUGGGGAGUCGAGAUAUUAAGUAAAGACUUGUUAGGGAUGAGCAAGGACGGAGCACAGGAAGGAAGCAGGAGAGGGAUCAUGGCUGCAACCCUUCGACAUCUUUUGUCGUGUCUUGGAAUAGCGGACCAACUUUCCUUAAUAGCUCUGAAAAAAAGCGGACUCCAGCUAAUCGCAUGGAUACGCGGAGUAACUCAAGGAUUUCUGAUACCACGUGCACAGCGAAGACUGGAGGAAGGUGUAAGUGUUGGCAGUGCGAGCAUUGAUGGUGUUAUUAUUAGUGCUGUAGUAAUGUUAUUGUUGAUGUUGCUGUUAUUGUUGUUGUUAUUGUUGCUGCUGCUGUUGUUCUUAUUGUUGGUGAUGGUGUUGUUGUUAGCUCUAGUAGUAAUAGGGAAUAUUCGGAGAAAGAGGAGGCAGAAGUCCAAGAGGAGGAGAAGGAGGAGGAAGAGGAGGAGGAGGACCAAGAGGAGGAGGAGGAGAAGAAGGAAAUACCAGAAUAUGAGGAAAGUGGGACGAGCGAAAGAAAGAAUUAAAGGAAGGAAGAAAUUAAGAGAAUUAUCGAAGGCUGAAGUAGAUGUACGAAAGGGAAGAAGAA